This 527-nucleotide long non-coding RNA is filed under the name Pan troglodytes (chimpanzee). Its description in RNAcentral is "long non-coding RNA NONPTRT018381". The record is from RNAcentral. Lineage: Eukaryota; Metazoa; Chordata; Mammalia; Primates; Hominidae.
CUUUACUGUCUGGUCUUUUGCCUCUUCUUGGUUGACAUUAAAUGGUGUCAGAAUAGAGUGGGGUACAACGCAACUUUCCCCUGCGUUCUGGCACUGCCAUGGAUUCAAGCAUGGUACCUGUAGGAUCCCUUUGUGUUCCAUCGUCUCCCCAACAGCCCAGGACCUCAUUGGACACAAUUGAAAACACUGGUUAUAUUACAAAAGCUUUGACUGGUAAUUUUGUGUCAUAUUUUCAAAUGUGACCAAGCUGCUUUGAGGAAUUGCAGUUUACUUUAAAGCCAACAGACUUGGAAAAAGACUGGCCGGGUACCAUAUCUACACUGUUCCCUUACAGGGUUCCUGACCUUGUGAAAAGAAAACUGAGUAAUGACCUACAGACAUGGUUAAUCAGUUAUACCCUUCUCCUGACAUACAGCUAAUCACCAUAGACUAAUGCAGACCUCCUUAUGAAACAGGCGUUUCUACCUCCAAGGGAAAAAGAUAACAAAUCUUUGGCUGACCAACUGAUGUUUAUCAGCAAUGCUUCC